GGGAAGGUCUGUGGCUCAGCGGAAGAGCAUCUGCUUGGAAUGCAGAGAGUCCCAGGUUCGAUUCCCAGCAUUCCCA
This 76-nucleotide transfer RNA is filed under the name Sphaerodactylus townsendi. RNAcentral's name for it is "tRNA-Ser". It matches the Rfam family "tRNA". From Rfam's summary of the family: Transfer RNA (tRNA) molecules are approximately 80 nucleotides in length. Their secondary structure includes four short double-helical elements and three loops (D, anti-codon, and T loops). Further hydrogen bonds mediate the characteristic L-shaped molecular structure. tRNAs have two regions of fundamental functional importance: the anti-codon, which is responsible for specific mRNA codon recognition, and the 3' end, to which the tRNAs corresponding amino acid is attached (by aminoacyl-tRNA synthetases). tRNAs cope with the degeneracy of the genetic code in two manners: having more than one tRNA (with a specific anti-codon) for a particular amino acid; and 'wobble' base-pairing, i.e. permitting non-standard base-pairing at the 3rd anti-codon position. Lineage: Eukaryota; Metazoa; Chordata; Lepidosauria; Squamata; Sphaerodactylidae. The record is from RNAcentral.